GUAACGCGUGAGGAACCUGCCUCAAAGAGGGGGACAACGGCUGGAAACGGCCGCUAAUACCGCAUGACAUAUCCGGAUGGCAUCGUCUGGAUAUCAAAGGAGAAAUCCGCUGAAGGGUGGGCUCGCGUCCGAUUAGCUAGUUGGUAGGGUAACAGCCUACCAAGGCGACGAUCGGUAGCCGAACUGAGAGGUUGAUCGGCCGCAUUGGGACUGAGACACGGCCCAGACUCCUACGGGAGGCAGCAUG
RNAcentral lists this ribosomal RNA (247 nucleotides) under uncultured bacterium. Its description in RNAcentral is "partial 16S ribosomal RNA". It matches the Rfam family "Bacterial small subunit ribosomal RNA", at positions 110 to 353 of the family's 1533-position model. The record is from RNAcentral.